Molecule: ribosomal RNA, 503 nt
Filed under: uncultured bacterium
Lineage: Bacteria
Description: bacterial SSU rRNA
Rfam family: Bacterial small subunit ribosomal RNA
Source: RNAcentral
AGAGUUUGAUCAUGGCUCAGAACGAACGCUGGCGGCGUGCUUAACACAUGCAAGUCGAACGCGAAAGUUUUCUUCGGAAGAUGAGUAGAGUGGCGCACGGGUGAGUAACGCGUAAAUAAUCUACCCCUGCAUUCGGGAUAACCCACCGAAAGGUGUGCUAAUACCGGAUACGUUCUUUUUAUCGCGAGAUAAAAAGAAGAAAGGUGGCCUCUGAUAUAAGCUACUGUGCGGGGAGGAGUUUGCGUACCAUUAGCUAGUUGGUAGGGUAAUGGCCUACCAAGGCAACGAUGGUUAGCGGGUCUGAGAGGAUGAUCCGCCACACUGGAACUGGAACACGGACCAGACUCCUACGGGAGGCAGCAGUGAGGAAUAUUGCGCAAUGGGGGCAACCCUGACGCAGCGACGCCGCGUGGAUGAUGAAGGCCUUCGGGUCGUAAAAUCCUGUCAGAUGGAAAGAAAUGUAUAUGUAUUAACAGUAUGUAUGCUUGACGGUACCAUCAAAG